This 183-nucleotide ribosomal RNA is filed under the name Bacillus sp. (in: firmicutes). RNAcentral's name for it is "Bacillus sp. (in: Bacteria) partial 16S ribosomal RNA". It matches the Rfam family "Bacterial small subunit ribosomal RNA", at positions 1363 to 1533 of the family's 1533-position model. Lineage: Bacteria; Bacillati; Bacillota; Bacilli; Caryophanales; Bacillaceae. The record is from RNAcentral.
UGAAUACGUUCCCGGGUCUUGUACUCACCGCCCGUCACACCAUGGGAGUGGGUUGCAAAAGAAGUAGGUAGCUUAACCUUCGGGAGGGCGCUUACCACUUUGUGAUUCAUGACUGGGGUGAAGUCGUAACAAGGUAACCGUAGGGGAACCUGCGGUUGGAUCACCUCAUUACCUUAAAGAAGC